CUUCAAUAAUUUGUCUUUUGACCAAUCAGAUCAGCUCUGAAAAAGAUAUGUUGUGAAAAGAGCCGAUGUGAUUCGUCAAAAGACCAAUUACUGGGAAAAAUAUCAGAAUUUGGCUGCUUGUGUGAAGAGCGAGGAAAUGUAAGAUUGGAUCCCCUCUAGGUCACAGCACCAAUUACACAACACUAUGAAGUCUGAGACCUGGGAUUUAGACUGUAGUUAUUCAGAUUUGCAUAUUUAAACAUAUUUUUGGAAGUUAAACCAGAACUUGCAUAAAGCCAUCCACAGAUAACAUUAUUCCAACUAUUUACUUGUAUUUCUUUUAAUGUUUACCACUCCAGAAACAGCCCCUAUCCCCUACUUACUUGGCAAUUCUGGACAUCUGAAAGGAUUUGAUUGCUACAGUGUAAUAAAUAUGGUGAAAGUCCUACCAAGCCAAUCAGAGGGCAAGGUGGAGCAACUACCAUUUUUUGUUUCUGUCUAUCAUUUCGUGCCUAGGGGCUGUAGGGUUUGGCCCUGUUUUAAUAUUUUAACAAUGCACCCUUCUAUCUUCCUUGAAUAGGCCUACAUUCCUGAUCUGACAUGGCUGGAUUGGUGAAAGCUGUGGUAGAACCAUUGCUUACACCUAUCAAUUUGUGUUAGUUCAGUGAUUACUUCAAGGAAGAGAGGAAGAAAGGAUGCACUUCCAAAGUAUUCAAACAGGGUCUUCUUUUCUGGACUUAACCUGAGACUUUUGGGUUCUUCUUUCACCGCAUUCUCGCUGAGCUGGGGAGUGCAGGAGAGCGAUGGACUAAGAUGUCGGGCCAGAGCAGCGGGGAGAGAGAUCGGCCCGUGGUGACGCGAGGGUGUACCUGGGGUCCGUGUCAGAGGACAGGCCACCUCUUAAGUGGCUGGAGCUUGAGCUGCUGAGACAGGAGAACCGCUGCCACUCUGUAACCCUGGGAGACUAAAUCAAACUGAGGUCACAACUGCUCUACAGUGUUGAUCCCACAUGCAGCCUCAGCAAACUCAAGAUUGAAAAGAGAGUAUCCCUUGAAAGCCUGCCAAAGCUCAAGCUGGCCUUUGAGGAAUUUGAAAUGGGUGUCCUAAGAUCACUGGAUGUGCUCAACUUUGGACUGAUAGUGAAGAAGAGUUUGGGCUUUCACA
Molecule: long non-coding RNA, 1143 nt
Organism: Oncorhynchus tshawytscha (Chinook salmon)
Lineage: Eukaryota; Metazoa; Chordata; Actinopteri; Salmoniformes; Salmonidae
Exons: 3
Source: RefSeq, a predicted model, not a curated record